UUCCUGCAGGCUCAGUGGUAGAGAAUCUGCCUGCAAUGCAGGAUACCUGGGUUUGAUCCCUGGGUUGGGAA
RNAcentral lists this transfer RNA (71 nucleotides) under Bos taurus (domestic cattle). It matches the Rfam family "tRNA". Rfam says of the family: Transfer RNA (tRNA) molecules are approximately 80 nucleotides in length. Their secondary structure includes four short double-helical elements and three loops (D, anti-codon, and T loops). Further hydrogen bonds mediate the characteristic L-shaped molecular structure. tRNAs have two regions of fundamental functional importance: the anti-codon, which is responsible for specific mRNA codon recognition, and the 3' end, to which the tRNAs corresponding amino acid is attached (by aminoacyl-tRNA synthetases). tRNAs cope with the degeneracy of the genetic code in two manners: having more than one tRNA (with a specific anti-codon) for a particular amino acid; and 'wobble' base-pairing, i.e. permitting non-standard base-pairing at the 3rd anti-codon position. The record is from Rfam by way of RNAcentral. RNAcentral also lists the same sequence under 4 other names. Lineage: Eukaryota; Metazoa; Chordata; Mammalia; Artiodactyla; Bovidae.